GAACGCUAGCUACAGGCUCAACACAUGCAAGUCGAGGGGCAGCAUGGUCUUAGCUUGCUAAGGCCGAUGGCGACCGGCGCACGGGUGAGUAACACGUAUCCAACCUGCCGUCUACUCUUGGACAGCCUUCUGAAAGGAAGAUUAAUACAAGAUGGCAUCAUGAGUCCGCAUGUUCACAUGAUUAAAGGUAUUCCGGUAGACGAUGGGGAUGCGUUCCAUUAGAUAGUAGGCGGGGUAACGGCCCACCUAGUCUUCGAUGGAUAGGGGUUCUGAGAGGAAGGUCCCCCACAUUGGAACUGAGACACGGUCCAAACUCCUACGGGAGGCAGCAGUGAGGAAUAUUGGUCAAUGGGCGAGAGCCUGAACCAGCCAAGUAGCGUGAAGGAUGACUGCCCUAUGGGUUGUAAACUUCUUUUAUAAAGGAAUAAAGUCGGGUAUGGAUACCCGUUUGCAUGUACUUUAUGAAUAAGGAUCGGCUAACUCCGUGCCAGCAGCCGCGGUAAUACGGAGGAUCCGAGCGUUAUCCGGAUUUAUUGGGUUUAAAGGGAGCGUAGAUGGAUGUUUAAGUCAGUUGUGAAAGUUUGCGGCUCAACCGUAAAAUUGCAGUUGAUACUGGAUAUCUUGAGUGCAGUUGAGGCAGGCGGAAUUCGUGGUGUAGCGGUGAAAUGCUUAGAUAUCACGAAGAACUCCGAUUGCGAAGGCAGCCUGCUAAGCUGCAACUGACAUUGAGGCUCGAAAGUGUGGGUAUCAAACAGGAUUAGAUACCCUGGUAGUCCACACGGUAAACGAUGAAUACUCGCUGUUUGCGAUAUACUGCAAGCGGCCAAGCGAAAGCGUUAAGUAUUCCACCUGGGGAGUACGCCGGCAACGGUGAAACUCAAAGGAAUUGACGGGGGCCCGCACAAGCGGAGGAACAUGUGGUUUAAUUCGAUGAUACGCGAGGAACCUUACCCGGGCUUAAAUUGCAGAUGAAUUACGGUGAAAGCCGUAAGCCGCAAGGCAUCUGUGAAGGUGCUGCAUGGUUGUCGUCAGCUCGUGCCGUGAGGUGUCGGCUUAAGUGCCAUAACGAGCGCAACCCUUGUUGUCAGUUACUAACAGGUUCCGCUGAGGACUCUGACAAGACUGCCAUCGUAAGAUGUGAGGAAGGUGGGGAUGACGUCAAAUCAGCACGGCCCUUACGUCCGGGGCUACACACGUGUUACAAUGGGGGGUACAGAGGGCCGCUACCACGCGAGUGGAUGCCAAUCCCCAAAACCUCUCUCAGUUCGGACUGGAGUCUGCAACCCGACUCCACGAAGCUGGAUUCGCUAGUAAUCGCGCAUCAGCCACGGCGCGGUGAAUACGUUCCCGGGCCUUGUACACACCGCCCGUCAAGCCAUGGGAGCCGGGGGUACCUGAAGUGCGUAACCGCGAGGAGCGCCCUAGGGUAAAACUGGUGACUGGGGCUAA
RNAcentral lists this ribosomal RNA (1449 nucleotides) under uncultured organism. Its description in RNAcentral is "SSU rRNA". It matches the Rfam family "Bacterial small subunit ribosomal RNA". The record is from RNAcentral.